ACAUUUAUGACAACCCAAGCCAACUUGACAAACAUGAACAACAUUUAUAAAUCCACAAGCUAAAUAAAUUAUACAAUCAUAACUCCAACUAUUCACCACAAGUUCAUAUCAUCAUAAACUAGACUUGACAUUCCAAUAUUCCAAAUAAGAGAGAUCUUCUAACACUUUUACAUAGUAUAUCCAUUUCGAUUCAUCGACAACAUUUCAUUACAUACAAAAUAUGCUUAUACAACAAUAACAUAA
This 243-nucleotide long non-coding RNA is filed under the name Musa acuminata (dwarf banana). RNAcentral describes it as "long non-coding RNA (MACU_LNC008743)". Lineage: Eukaryota; Viridiplantae; Streptophyta; Magnoliopsida; Zingiberales; Musaceae. The record is from RNAcentral.